UUGUUGCGUUUCUUCAAUUGAUUAUUAUAUUUAAUUAAUUAUUUAAUUAAUAUUUAAUUAUGACACGAUUAAAGUGUAAAUGCGGUGUCGCGUUUGCACACAAAAAUUCUUUGAUUCGUCAUAUUCGGACGAAGCACAAGAGGGAGCAAAUCACCAAAAAUUUUUUUUCAAACGCUCAAUACGUAAGACAUACAUAUACUUUUUAUAUUAAAUAUGCUAAGUGUAGUUAUAAAAUAAGUUUCCAAGACUUAUGUGUGUAGUUCAUUGUGUUGUGAUACCUAUGCACGUCUCAUCACAUUCUACCUACAUGUUUCAAACACGUAUUGUACUGAUGUGUUAUGAACAGCUGGUUCCAGUUGAACAUUAGCAAUACGAACGUACAUCGUAGAUUGUUACGUUAGAAUAAAAUGACUUGGAUAAGAGUUCUUAUUAUUAUUAUUAUUAUUUAUCUUAGGAAUGUAAUGAUUGCAAACGAAGAUUUCAGAGAAAAGACAGUCUACAAAGGCAUAUUCUACAGCAACAUAUGAAAGAAGAAAAACCUACCUACAAAUGUAAUCGUUGUGGGAGUGAUUUCCAUAAAAAAAACGCUCUAAUACUACACUUAUCAAAAACUCAGAAAUGCCAAUCCGAUAAAUCAGCCAGCAUCGCGGAAAAAAGCAUUUCAAGUUCAGAAAAAGAUCAGGGGUUAAAAAGGUACAACUGCGUAAUGUGUGAAGAGAGCUUCAAACUGCAAUCUGAAAUUCGAAAUCAUCUUACUCAAACACACG
Planococcus citri (citrus mealybug) is the source of this 767-nucleotide long non-coding RNA. RefSeq lists it as uncharacterized. Lineage: Eukaryota; Metazoa; Arthropoda; Insecta; Hemiptera; Pseudococcidae. The transcript has 4 exons. The record is from RefSeq and is a predicted model, not a curated record.